GACGAACGCUGGCGGCGUGCUUAACACAUGCAAGUCGAGCGGUAAGGCCCUUCGGGGGUACACGAGCGGCGAACGGGUGAGUAACACGUGGGUGACCUGCCCUCAGCUCUGGGAUAAGCCUGGGAAACCGGGUCUAAUACUGGAUAUGACUCCAUGAUGCAUGUUGUGGGGUGGAAAGCCUUGUGCGGCUGAGGAUGGGCCCGCGGCCUAUCAGCUUGUUGGUGGGGNGAUGGCCUACCAAGGCGACGACGGGUAGCCGGCCUGAGAGGGCGACCGGCCACACUGGGACUGAGACACGGCCCAGACUCCUACGGGAGGCAGCAGUGGGGAAUCUUGCGCAAUGGGCGAAAGCCUGACGCAGCGACGCCGCGUGAGGGAUGACGGCCU
RNAcentral lists this ribosomal RNA (387 nucleotides) under uncultured bacterium. RNAcentral describes it as "bacterial SSU rRNA". It matches the Rfam family "Bacterial small subunit ribosomal RNA", at positions 28 to 417 of the family's 1533-position model. The record is from RNAcentral.